RNAcentral lists this long non-coding RNA (1127 nucleotides) under Triticum aestivum (bread wheat). Its description in RNAcentral is "long non-coding RNA (TAES_LNC015929)". The record is from RNAcentral. Lineage: Eukaryota; Viridiplantae; Streptophyta; Magnoliopsida; Poales; Poaceae.
GGAAGUGAAGUCUUUGAUUUGUCCACCGAGGAAGAGGAAGCACGAAGUCUUUGAUCUGUCCAGAGGGUAAGUCCUUGGUCUGUCCCACUCUUCCUUUUCUAUGUGAUGGUGACCUCCAUGUGUUAUCUGGAAACUUUGGUUCAUAUACCAUUCUUGUGAUUUUCCAAUGCUAUGUCAAUAAAUUAAUCUGUAACAUUUAAUGAAUUCAAUGUAUGAUUGUGAUGAGAAUGAAUGAAUGAAUGAUAUCAUGCCAACUUGUUUUUGUCCUUGAUCAGUAUCAUUUGUGGUAGCUCCUAGGCAACAUGUGCCUUUUCUUGCUCCGAGUUCCUAAGUAUGGUUUUGUACUUUUGUUAACUAGACAAACACAAUUUUAAAUUUGGUGAACAUCAGUAGCUAACUUUGUUGUGUUUGAUUGAUGUUCUGCUAGCUGCUACUGUUAAUUGUUACUGCCAUCAUAUUGCCACUGCUUAGAAUAUGUUUUGUGCCUUAAUUCUAGUAGUAUUUGCUGUCAAAAACAUGAUUGUAUUGUGAGCCAUGAAGUUCUUGGAGUUUUCUUAGAGCUUGCUGGUAUUUAUUUUUUUCCACCAAUAUAAUAUUUGCUAAUAUUUAGUCAUGGUUGCUACUGUUAUCUGUGCCCUCAUGCUUCAGGAUCCACUCCUAGCUGCUUGUGUAUUUGUUUAUUAUUCUGUUCAAUUCUUUUCCUAGCUGUUGUAUGUUGGAGGAUAUUGCAGGAUAAUGAUUGUUUACUGUCUUUUGCAGGAGCUCUAGGCUGUAGCUGGAAAAAGGGAACACUUCAUAUUUGUAGCCAUUGUAUUUGUUGGAGGAUAUUGCAGGAUAAUGAUCGUUUCCUGAAUGGUUGUUCUAUGCUUCAUAGCAGCACACUUUUGUAGCUGUUCUAAAUUCCUGGAUGAUGUGGACUAUGGCAUGACUGUAAUAUAUAUAAUGUACUCAUUUUGGUUGUCGUUUGUGAAAAUUUGUGUGAUUGGGGCUCUGCUGAUCGAAAUAUUGAUUAUUUAUUGCUGAUACUUUAUUGUUGAUACGUCGGAAACGAAACAAAUACUAUUUGGGCCCUAAAAGGCCACAAAUCAAACAAUUCAGGAAAAAUUGAAAAAAAAUUACUAAAAAAA